ACACACGCUGAAUGUAAUGGAAUGUCUUUUGUGCUUAACGCGCAUAUAUACAACUUUCAACAACGGAUCUCUUGGCUCUCGCACCGAUGAAGAACGCAGCGAAAUGCGAUAAGUAAUGUGAAUUGCAGAAUUCAGUGAAUCAUCGAAUCUUUGAACGCACCUUGCACCCUUUGGUAUUCCGAAGGGUACACCCGUUUGAGUGUCAUUGUAAUCUCACUU
This 219-nucleotide ribosomal RNA is filed under the name Sebacinales sp. 4035. Its description in RNAcentral is "5.8S ribosomal RNA". The stretch from base 52 to 205 matches the Rfam family "5.8S ribosomal RNA". Rfam says of the family: 5.8S ribosomal RNA (5.8S rRNA) is a component of the large subunit of the eukaryotic ribosome. The record is from RNAcentral. Lineage: Eukaryota; Fungi; Basidiomycota; Agaricomycetes; Sebacinales.